Molecule: long non-coding RNA, 1311 nt
Organism: Megalopta genalis
Lineage: Eukaryota; Metazoa; Arthropoda; Insecta; Hymenoptera; Halictidae
Source: RefSeq, a predicted model, not a curated record
UUGCUUUAUUGAUAUUUAUUUACACCGAUUCACAGAAUGGUUCGUACCCCGUGAAAAUCGACUUUGUAUAUACAACAUUGUCAACAAUCUUUGCAUUAAUAAGGAAAAAAAUACAAGUAUCUACCUCAUCGAAUGCGGGGAGAACGUAAUUGCAUUAACGAUAAACAUCAUUGAGCCAGACGGAACUUCACUUUCGACGUUGAAUGCUCGAUGGACAUGAAACUUUCGAUAUUCGCUAAUAAUCAGGCAAGAUAGGCGGAAAAAGGUGGUUAAGUGUUCGCGCGAACACAUCACGAGGCAUUCUCACGAAGUUUUGUUUAAUUUAAUCGACAUCACAAUAACAACAUACUUUGUAGAAAUAUUACGGACGAGAAACAGGUUAAGUUGGGCCGGCAAGGUGUUUCGGAUUUCGAAGAUAUCACCACCGACUUUCUCCCCGCACGCAGCCAAAUUUCUCACGAAUCCGGACCGGCACCCUUCCUCUAAGGGGGCAACAAAAAGAAACGACCGUUAACCACCUUUCUCCCCUCUUAAUCAUCCCUCCGGCCGCGCUCUCUGUCCGAAUAAACCGUGCAUCCCCUUCGGCCUGGCUCCGGAAACAGGUAAAGAUCUCCUCCGUUCGCGUGACCUUCGACCCCUCGACCCUACCGGCUCAAAAGAAAGAGGGGUGCAUUGUGUUCAGAAAUGUUCUCACGAGCCAUCGUAACGUCUGCACCCGUCAAAACGACUAUUUAAGGGCCCCGUACCAACGACAGAACAGUCAGAAGUGUUUUGCAACUCGCGGCGGACAGCGACGCGGACGAUCCUUGCCCUUGGGCCGUCCGUCUCUCGUCGAGGAUCUCUUCGCGAAGGGUCUCCGGGACGAAGGAAUGGUCGGCGACCCUUGAAAUAUGGAGGACCUCGGAGGCCGAGGAUGAGAAGAAUGUCCGGGAAACGACGAAAUUAUCCGGAACGUGAAUGAGGUGACAAGCAAAAUCGAGAAGAAAGAAGAUGUGGGUGAAACGAAUAGUGGAAGAAACAAAUUUUUCUAGCUGAGAAAAGAAGCAACGACGAAGAAGAACGCGGGAACUGAUAUAACCGAAUAUGUUUCAAGAUCCGUAAUGAGUUCGAUGCAGAAUAAUAUAGUAACUAAUGGAAAUAUUAAGGAUACACUGUACACUGUUUAAACAACGACAGGGAGAAUCGUAAGGAACGGCAGAAAAUGGAAUCACUUAAAAUGACAUCAGAAAAUGGGAAGAAUGUGAAGAAGGAAAUUCCAACGAAUGUGAGCAGUACAUAAUAUAAGACAGAAGAAGACGAAGAUAAAUACGG